CCUCAUUCUCUCUCACAGCCAAGCAAAGGGAAACAACAACAACACAACUCAAUCUCUCUUUAACUCAUUUUGUGACAACACAAAAACAUCAAAAGACAAUGAAAAUAAAACAAAAAUGUCCUCACUUACUCUCUUAAAAAUUCGAUGUUGUUUGUGUUAUGAAGUGGUGUUGGGGAUGAAAAAACGGAAGUGGAGAUUUGACGGUUGGUGAUGUGUGUGUAAUUGUGGAGGUGUUAUAUGGCGGAUUCCUGAAGGGUUAUGGGUGGUUGGUUGUUUGGACGAUGAUGGUGAUGGGUGAGAGAGGUUUCAGACGUUGGUCGAUGGUGGUUUAACGAGACGGUGAAGAAGAAGAAUUGACGAUGCUAUAAGCU
RNAcentral lists this long non-coding RNA (371 nucleotides) under Lathyrus oleraceus (garden pea). RNAcentral describes it as "Pisum sativum (pea) long non-coding RNA (PSAT_LNC022838)". Lineage: Eukaryota; Viridiplantae; Streptophyta; Magnoliopsida; Fabales; Fabaceae. The record is from RNAcentral.